GAUGAACGCUAGCGGCAGGCUUAAUACAUGCAAGUCGAGGGGCAGCAGGGGUAGCAAUACCCGCUGGCGACCGGCAAACGGGUGCGGAACACGUACACAACCUUCCUUUAAGUGGGGAUAGCCCAGAGAAAUUUGGAUUAAUACCCCGUAAUAUUAUUUAGUGGCAUCAUUAAAGUAAUUAAAGCUCCGGCGCUUAGAGAUGGGUGUGCGGCUGAUUAGGUAGUUGGUGAGGGUAACGGCCCACCAAGCCUUCGAUCAGUAACUGGUGUGAGAGCACGACCAGUCAC
Molecule: ribosomal RNA, 287 nt
Filed under: uncultured bacterium
Lineage: Bacteria
Description: partial 16S ribosomal RNA
Rfam family: Bacterial small subunit ribosomal RNA
Source: RNAcentral